UCAUGAUCAUCUUCCUUAAUUUUGUUUUAUUAAAUUUUUAUAACAUGUUUGAGUUGGAUUAUCGAUAUUAAUAGUCUUGUAAGUUUAACGUUUUUUUAAAACGUUCCAUUUUUUAAUUUUUAAUUAUUUAAAUUGAGUCGAAAAUUCAUCCAAUUUCAAUUUCCUUUCAAUUAACUAAAUAGACCAUCCACGUCACCUACCACAUCAUCAUUAAUCUCAAUCAUUAAUUCAACGAAUUAAAAAUUAAGAAGAAAAAAUCAUCUCUCUACCCCUCGACCCUCUCUCUCCCUUUCUUUCUUUCUUUCUUUCUUCUUCUCUCUCCUUUUCAUCUCUCUGGGAAUGGUGGUACUUUCAUCUCCUUCCACUUUCUGCUCAAACGAACUAAAGAACUGGAAAAAGAAGAGAAGCAUCAAUGGGGGCCCCUAAAAUUAAAAGGAUUAAAGGACUACUUAACACACUUAAAUUCUAAAAUUGACAAGGAAGGUAGGAAUUGAUGAAAGAAUCAGUACCCAUUAUCCCGUCCUUCUCUUUUUGCAAUUUAAGCAGAAAGCAAAGAUUAAUAAGUGUGUUUCUUAUAAAAAAAUUGAAUAAAGUGUAUUUACUGCACUGGUAUGGCCAUAAAUUCUUAUCUCUGUAUUUUCACUAUUCCCAGCAUUACUGCGUUCCUCUGCAGACCCAAAAACCCAGCUUUUCUGGAAACAUACUAAAAAGAACAGUCACUUCCACUUCCAGUGAAUGCUUCCCUACAGUUGGUUAAUUUGGCGCAUUUACUGAACUCUAUGAAGCUAAUUAGAGGAUCGACAUGGUUAAAUCCCAUUUCAGCGGAGGUGGCCUAGUGAAAUGAGUAGAAAAAAAGCAGAGUACUAGAUUUCGAAUUAGGAGACAGGAAUCGAAAGUAGUAGUAUAGAGGGUAAAAACAAGUACUGUCAUCGCCGAGGAUAGCAGAGGCCAAAAGUGCGAACAAAAAGAGAAAGCAUAGAGACAGCCAUUUACUUCUUGGAUUAUGUAGACUGGACAGGGAAGGACUAAGGAGAAGGGUGAAGGAGCGUGAGAAUCAGAGAGACGAAAGGGAGAGAGAGGAAGAAAGAAAGG
This 1092-nucleotide long non-coding RNA is filed under the name Linum usitatissimum (flax). Its description in RNAcentral is "long non-coding RNA (LUSI_LNC004962)". Lineage: Eukaryota; Viridiplantae; Streptophyta; Magnoliopsida; Malpighiales; Linaceae. The record is from RNAcentral.